Long non-coding RNA from Haliotis rubra (blacklip abalone), 345 nucleotides. RefSeq lists it as uncharacterized. The transcript is spliced from 3 exons. The record is from RefSeq and is a predicted model, not a curated record. Lineage: Eukaryota; Metazoa; Mollusca; Gastropoda; Lepetellida; Haliotidae.
CCGAAGACCCGGGUCAUCAAGGUGCCGUGUGACCUUGAAGGAUGCUGGACAGUGUAUAUAAAAUAAAGGAGCCCGCAUUCACCCUGUCCACGACUCGGCGACAGAAGGCUUCCCGGUUGACUGAACACUCGACGACUCCUCAACAUGAUGCUGCAGGCAGUUCUACUCGCCAGUCUGGCGACGGUUGCUCUUGGUUCCAUCUGCUGUGCUCCUCAGAAAUGGGAAGGAUUCAAAGACUACACCAUUGUCGACUCCUCGGGUGGAGAGCGUGGUCUGCAAUACUAUUCCUAUGACGCCCUCAACCGAAGGUACGCCAUCAGCGGCAACUACACUUCUUUUGUCAGC